Mus musculus (house mouse) is the source of this 821-nucleotide long non-coding RNA. RefSeq annotates it as predicted gene, 39627. Lineage: Eukaryota; Metazoa; Chordata; Mammalia; Rodentia; Muridae. The transcript is spliced from 2 exons. The record is from RefSeq and is a predicted model, not a curated record.
CAGCCCCAAUUAAAUGUUGUCCUUAUAAGAGUUGGCUUGGUCAUGGGGUCUGUCCACAGCAGUAAACCUCUGACUAAGACCUGGUGGUAAUGAACCCAUUCUCAUGUGCAUAACAAAGCCUGAGGCCAUGACAACCUUGAACUCUUUGUAAAGUUCACAUGGCAUCUUCCAUAAAGGUAGGUUCUGUAGAUUAAUAGGGAGCAAAUUCAAGAUAAAGCAGGGUGGGGGGUGUAAAGUUCACAUGGCACCUUCCAUAAAGGUAGGUUCUGUAGAUUAAUAGGGAGCACAUUCAAGAUAAAGCAGGGUGGGAGGGAGACUGUCAUACUACAGAUUGACUGAGACAAACUCAAGAUAAGAGUCUAGAGGAGGAUCUAAUAUGGGCUGGCCACACAGAAAAGAUUACCAGGCUAUUGUGCAAGUCUGCUCCCAGCUUCUGGGUGGAAAACAGGUUGUCCGCAUCUCCCUCCCUUUGAAGAGACGACCCGUGUUUCUAACAUUCCUGAUUUCCCCUAGUGCUUAUGUGUGAGCACAAGGACCUCUGUGCACUUGUAAUUCCGUCCCUGUACUUAGGGCUGACUGUCUGGGGUUGGAUAACCUGUCAUGGAUUUCAUCCCUGGAGAGAACUGAUCCGGCCUCGCUCCUUAGCCAUUGGCUGCGUAUAGUUAUUUAUCUAGGGGUGUAGGAUCUUGUAAAAUUAACCCCGUGCACAUUGGUACUUCAACUGGUAGUCUCUCAUUAUGUUGGCUUCAUUUCGACAGCCAUAUAAUUGAGAUUUCGCGGGUACAAGCCUCCUUGUCACAUUUAGAAGACAUUAGCAGCAG